GGAGCCGUCUGAGCGGCCGCCUCUGCCGGGCACAGCGCUGUUAUAGCGAGCUGCCGUGCCGGUCGGCUGCACCGAGCCAAUGGCAGGGAGCCACUGGGCUGAUACCGAGCGCUGUCAGAGGAGGACAUCUGUCACACGCCGCCUUCACCGCCACCCACAGCCUCCGCUGCCCCCGCCGCGGACGGGCCGGCAGCAGGGAAAGGCGGAGGGACGACCACGGCGGUGGGGGGCAGACCGGUCAUCCCGACCGGCGCUGCAGCCCCACAUGGGGGGUGUGCACGGGGGUCCCUGUUCCCACGGAGGGCGCAGGAGUGCGGGUCCUCCGGGGCUUGGGGUUGCUGAGAGAGAGCCCGGGGCUGCGCCGCCCCCAGCCCAAAGCUCCGGCCCCUCCUCCUCCCCCGAGUAGCCUCCGCGCCCCGCCACCGCAUCCUAUUUUAUUUUAUAUACCUAUAUAUAUAUAUUUCUUUUAACGCCUAAGCCAGCGGGCAUCUUAACCUUCCCAGGGCGGAGCAGCACACCCCCCCCCCUCCCCGCCCCGCUCCCGGGCCCGGCUCGGCAGCAGAACCGAUCACGGAUCGCCGCCGCCGUUCCCGCCCGCCGCGUUCGGCUCUUCUGGCCCGUAACUGGGCGAAACGGAUCAUUCCUCACCCCGCCGAGGGCGAGCUCCGUCCCGCCUUUCGCUGCGCUGCCGCCGGUACAGCAGCUCUGCAUCCCGCCGCCGCCCAUCCCCGCCGCAUCCAUCCCGCCCGGCUGUCUUGCAAACCGGGAGCGUGCUGGCAAAACUUCUAGGUCACGGCGGGUUUGGGGUGAGGAGGGGAGGAGUCGCGGAGAAAAACUGCGGCUGCAUCCCUCCAGGUGCCCGCCGCCGCUUACCCACCGACCGAGCGAAGGGCCGAGCACCGACCGGGCACCGACCGGCUCCCGCGGUUACUCACAGCUUCCCCGGCCUCGCAGGGCCUCGGCGGCCGCGGGAAAAACGGAAACCACCGCGGUUUGCUGCAGGCUCCUGCGCUGCGGUCCUCGCCCUCAGCCUUAAUGUACUCGCUCCGUUUUAUGAAGCCCCGAGCAAACUGGGGGAUGAAAACCAUUAGAUACAUCAGCAUAAGGCAACUGUAAUACAUACCGUGCCCCUUCCCCAUCCUAAGUGUUCCUUUCUCUUUGCAGCAUGCAAACCAGAACUUGCUGCCAGAACCAGAAUUUGUCGGAAACGUGUUUAAUAAAGAUGCUCAAGUCCCUUCCCCCCCACACA
Molecule: long non-coding RNA, 1249 nt
Filed under: Strigops habroptila (Kakapo)
Lineage: Eukaryota; Metazoa; Chordata; Aves; Psittaciformes; Psittacidae
Description: lncRNA (ENSSHBG00005020508.1)
Source: RNAcentral